Molecule: long non-coding RNA, 4021 nt
Filed under: Taeniopygia guttata (zebra finch)
Lineage: Eukaryota; Metazoa; Chordata; Aves; Passeriformes; Estrildidae
Description: lncRNA (ENSTGUG00000029317.1)
Source: RNAcentral
CUGCGGCGGCCGCUUGGCUACAAGCUGGCCAAGGCCACCAAGGAGCGCAUCUGGCGGGGGGAGUUCAUUGACCUGUUUUCCUUGCUCCACACAGAGCUGGCCCCCGAGCACGGCCCGCGCCCGGGGGACACGCUGGACCAGUGGGUCUCGGCCUUCCUGGUGUACGCCAGCGUGCUGUGCGAGAAGCACCCGGCGCGCUGCGGAGCCAUGUUCAAGUACCUGGACACCAUCCGCAAGCUGCACGCCACCUACGGGGGCACCUCCUGGAUGAACUACGAUGAGGAUUUCCGACGGCGGGCGGCCAAGAACCCCUCACUGCCCUGGGGCGACGUGGACUUGGACCUGUGGAUGAAGUGGAUGGCGCCCCUCAAGUCGCUCGUCCCCAGGCGCCCGCGUGCUGAGAGCGAGAGACAGGCCUCGCCGGCCCAGCCGCCACCGCCGGGCCAGAGCCCCAAGCAGGAGGACAAAAGCCAGGUGUGAUGGGCCGAUGGCCGCGUGUUUCUCUGCUCCGCUGCCUGGGCAUGGUGCUCCCUCGGAUGGGAAGAGGAGAAAGGGGCAGUUGGGGUGCCCUUGUGUUGGCCGGCACCUCUCAUUUCAUGGCACUGACCCUUUGCUCGUGUUGACCAUAGGGACACGGUAUCAUGGGUGUCCAGCUGGCCACUCUGAGAGGUGUGCAUGUGGAUGGAUGCUCUGAGCAAAUGUUUGAGCAUUUAUUACUCCAGCCACCAGAAAAUAGGAACCCCACUAAUUCCUUCUUCUGGUGUAUUUUUGCAUUUUCCGGAAGACAUUAGAAGAAAGAUGUUCUGUGGUUUUGUUCUUUUCCUCUGAGUUGUCUUUAAAAAAAACAACUUUAUCAGCAAUACAGUUAUCUGUAUGUAAGGCAAAGAGUACAGACUAUUCUGUUACUAUGGGAGCAUGUGGGCAGUUGCAGGCAGCAUGAGAUGGCAAAAAAUUAAUAUGAAUAAAGAUAAACUUCAAUAAGAAUGGCCACAGUGUGCAAAUUUACCGUGAUUUGAAAAUGAAACCUGUUUUGGGGCUCACUAGAUUUAAUCCACAAGUUAGAGCCUGUUUUAUGGGAAAAGAUGAUGAGUGUGAUUAGAAGUAGGGAGGAUUUUGUGUACUUGGUUUGCUUUCAGUACAGGCAUCACUGUAUGAGUUGGUAUAACCUGUGGUGGAUGCCAGGAGGUUUAGCCUUUCUCCUGCCUGAGGCAUGAUGCUGAGCUCUGCAGCUACAGCGGCCUGCCUGUCUAUAUUAGAGGUUGUGGUGCUUCUCUUAGACUGGUGACUGCAGUCUGCCAAAUCCCCAGCACAGAAAAUGCUGAAUGUUGAGUUUCAUGCCAGCUGAAUGAGGACAGAGAGAUUCCGUUAUAUUGGCUAUGCGUAUUUGUAACCUUUUUUUUUUUUUUUUUUUUGCACCUGUAGAAAGAAACUUUGCCUUCCAGAAUAUUUUUUGUUGCUUUGUCAGAUGCUGUGAUUGCUUGGGAUUGCCAGCACAGAGAGACUAAGUUCUUUGACUCAUGUUAGCCUGGUCCCUUUUCAGGGCAUCUGAAAGUGCUUGGUGUAUCACACCAAGUCUUGCCUUUGGUACUUAUCAAAAGUAAUUUCUCUAGGCCAGCCUGUGACAAAGGGAGCAAACACCAGGCAGUAAGAUAGAUAAAUCCAGGCCUGUUGGCCUUGCACCAUCUGUGGUUCAUGCUUUGUGUUCUUCAAUUUUUUCUGAUAUGUCUGUUUACAUUUCUCUAUUCUCAAGGUGAACAGCUCAGUCCUUGUUUUCCUACAGAUCUUAUGUGUGCACCAGAUGGGCAAUGGCUUAUAGCUUUCAUCUCAUUUGAGACUGGACCUUCAGCUUGUCAUGUUAACCACUCUUGUAACUUCUUCCACAGCAGCUGGUCUGUCACUGCUGAGCUUUGCUUGGUUGUCUGCUGAGGCACCAGGGGUCUUGAUCCCAUUUGAUUCCAUGGAAAUUUCCUAGUUGAUUUUUAUCAAUAGCAUUGAUGUAUUUUUCCCCUAGAAAGUGUGUAAAGAAAAAAUAAACAUGUUUAUUUUAACUCCUAAAAAUACCAAAAGUCUGAUGUUUGUAAAAUGACUAGUACUUUAGCAGCACAAUGAAAAAGUGAAACUUGUGCAAUUAAUUGUUGUGGUUUCAGCCACUUUUCUGUUAUUAGAGCAGUUUUUAACUGGUAGCAUAUAGUCUCUUACAACUAUUCCAAAAUGUCCUUAAAUGAAGCUAUGGUUUAGGCAGCUGUCAAAUGUCAGUGAGGCCUAUGAUAAAACAUGAGUUUAUCAUUGGCAAGGUCGCAGCAAGGAAAUAUUUUUUUACACGUGACCUUUGUGUUUCCCCAUAUCUCCCCAGCUCCUUGCAAGCUCUCUUUAUGUUGUAUAAAACUACUUCAGCAAAAUACGAUGUGGUAUCACACUUGGACAAAAGAACUGGAGAAUUAAAAUGGGAGAGAAUAGCCUUUUAUGGGCUUAAGACUUUGGACAGAAUCUAAGCUUUUCCACAUUCAUGCUAUCAAGAGGAAGACGAGGUGUUUUACAAAAACCUUUUUUACCAGGCUGUUGGUUUGAAAUUAUUUUCUUUUUGUAGUUUUGAGGGAUAGUGUUAGGCAGCCUGACGGGAUUUUAUUUCCCCUUUUAGUCCACGACUCGUUGAAUAUCAGCAUCAUUUAGUUUAGUGCCUGUAUCUCUAAUUCUGCAUUUCCACAGAUGAUUAAACAGUAAAAAUUAGGUCGAAGCAUACAAAAUGCUGUGUCUGAAGACAGCUGUCCUUUCUAAGGCAAUGGUGAAGACUGUAACUUUGCAUUACAUGGAAAGAACAAUGUGAGAAAUCCUAGUUUUAGUUGGAGUGCAGUAAUUGGCGCAUAUGUAGGAUAGCUGAGAUUCAUUCCUGCAAGUUUAUGUCUGUGUGUAUAACUUCAGACAACUCUCUUUUUUUCCCCAGACUCCAUGAAAACAGAAGACCAAUUGGGAUGGGAGUCAGACUAAGUGGCCUGACUCCGUUGGUGUUUAAGGAGCUCUGGUAUUCUAGUGCAUUCUUUUACCUCUGCUUCUGUUGCGUUGCAAGCUGUGCUAGAGAAGACGUAGGAAGUUCAUUUUACCCAAUCAGCAAUUGUAACAAUGGACUACCAACCUGCAGAGCAAGCCAGUUUGCUGGAAAACAGGAAUUCCUGCAGCGCAGCACUUGUCACAGACUACCCAAAGAGGGCAAAGAUUCAGGAAGGUGAAUAAAUUGAACACUGGUUGAAUGAGGUCAGGAACACUCUCCCGGAGGAGAAUCCUGCCCUAAAAUACUGCUUUGAAAGCAAAAGCCAAUUUAAUGCGCAGAUUAAACCUUCUCAUUUGACCAAACUUCUGUGCAAUCCUGGAUCUUUGCAGAUCACAACCGGACACUUCAAAACCCUGUGUAUUAUAUUUGUUUAAAAAAAAUAAAUCAUAACUUGUCUUGUUACAGCUGUUACUUUUGCCAUUUCAUUGAGAGAGUAGCUGCAACAUAAAUGUGUAUUUGACUCAGAAAAGUAUCAUACACUCGGGAUAAUAACUCAGGUUGUCAACAGAAUUAUUCUGUGAGGCUCAGUAUCCUCUUUCCAUUGUUCUGCAUUAACCAUAGCUGUCAUUGCCAGAUAGCCCAAUUGUGCAUUACAAAAUUCUUUGUCAAUUAUAAUGAUUGACCUAAGUUAUAAUUUUGUUUUUCUAGUAGAAUACUUAAAAAUUCUGACCAUCAGACUAGACCUUUGUAGUCCGGUGUUCAUGAAAAUCUUUUUCAUUGAUUAACAGUUUUCAUUCUGCAUCUCUGUUUUGUUUUCUUCUCCUUUUUCCUUGCAUACUAAGGGGUAUAGUUAAGGUAAUACUAUGAUUCAAUAAUGCUCGUGAUGGUAAGGGUUUGCCUUUAGUUGUUUCAGGAAAAAGCUGCCAUUAUCUCCUCUCCCUCUCUCAAUAUUUCCAAUAAUAUGCAUAACAUAAAGUGUUUGUAAAUUGAUAUCAAACUGUUUGUGACUUCACCUAAAUAAAUUUUUAUAUUUAA